Molecule: transfer RNA, 65 nt
Filed under: Ditaxis biseriata
Lineage: Eukaryota; Metazoa; Arthropoda; Insecta; Neuroptera; Mantispidae
Description: tRNA-Pro
Source: RNAcentral
CAGAAAAUAGUUUAAUAAAAAUAGUAAUUUUGGAGAUUAUUGAUAAAGAAUUUCUUUUUUUCUGA